RNAcentral lists this long non-coding RNA (378 nucleotides) under Elaeis guineensis (African oil palm). RNAcentral describes it as "long non-coding RNA (EGUI_LNC003115)". The record is from RNAcentral. Lineage: Eukaryota; Viridiplantae; Streptophyta; Magnoliopsida; Arecales; Arecaceae.
CAGAGUGUAUUGCUCUAUGUAUUUUCAGAGUUGUAUAUUGUUUUAUGUAUUUUUGAUAGUUGAACUGAUGUGUAGUCUAUGUCCAGAGUUGUGUAUUGUUCUAUCUAUUUUUCGAUAGUUGAGCUGUUGUGUAGUUUAUGUCCAGAGAUGAAUCAUUGUUCUAUAUAUAAUUACAGAGUUAUAUUUCUCAUGUAAUGAAUUAGUAUCAUAUUUUUCAUGCUCUAAUAUACUUGGGAUGCAUGUUAUUAUUUUAGAUUUAUUAGUGUGUUAUGGCUUACGAUCUAUGUCAUCUGGGCCCUCAAGAUCGCAGUAUUCUUUUAUUACAAGAGAUCCAUUGAUCACAGACCAUCUUAGAUGGCAAUGUAAGCAUUCCAUUCC